RNAcentral lists this ribosomal RNA (372 nucleotides) under uncultured Desulfobulbus sp. Its description in RNAcentral is "bacterial SSU rRNA". It matches the Rfam family "Bacterial small subunit ribosomal RNA", at positions 1010 to 1382 of the family's 1533-position model. The record is from RNAcentral. Lineage: Bacteria; Pseudomonadati; Thermodesulfobacteriota; Desulfobulbia; Desulfobulbales; Desulfobulbaceae.
UUCCAUCUGGAAGAAGUCUGGAGGACAGGUGCUGCAUGGCUGUCGUCAGCUCGUGUCGUGAGAUGUUGGGUUAAGUCCCGCAACGAGCGCAACCCUUGCCUUUAGCUGCCAGCAGUUCGGCUGGGCACUCUAAAGGGACUGCCGGUGUUAAACCGGAGGAAGGUGGGGAUGACGUCAAGUCCUCAUGGCCUUUAUGACCAGGGCUACACACGUACUACAAUGGCCGAUACAAAGGGCAGCGACACUGCGAGGUGAAGCCAAUCCCGUAAAAUCGGUCUCAGUCCGGAUUGGAGUCUGCAACUCGACUCCAUGAAGUUGGAAUCGCUAGUAAUCGUGGAUCAGCAUGCCACGGUGAAUACGUUCCCGGGCCUU